This 823-nucleotide ribosomal RNA is filed under the name Lactiplantibacillus plantarum. Its description in RNAcentral is "bacterial SSU rRNA". It matches the Rfam family "Bacterial small subunit ribosomal RNA", at positions 54 to 841 of the family's 1533-position model. Lineage: Bacteria; Bacillati; Bacillota; Bacilli; Lactobacillales; Lactobacillaceae. The record is from RNAcentral.
CAUGCAAGUCGAACGAACUCUGGUAUUGAUUGGUGCUUGCAUCAUGAUUUACAUUUGAGUGAGUGGCGAACUGGUGAGUAACACGUGGGAAACCUGCCCAGAAGCGGGGGAUAACACCUGGAAACAGAUGCUAAUACCGCAUAACAACUUGGACCGCAUGGUCCGAGCUUGAAAGAUGGCUUCGGCUAUCACUUUUGGAUGGUCCCGCGGCGUAUUAGCUAGAUGGUGGGGUAACGGCUCACCAUGGCAAUGAUACGUAGCCGACCUGAGAGGGUAAUCGGCCACAUUGGGACUGAGACACGGCCCAAACUCCUACGGGAGGCAGCAGUAGGGAAUCUUCCACAAUGGACGAAAGUCUGAUGGAGCAACGCCGCGUGAGUGAAGAAGGGUUUCGGCUCGUAAAACUCUGUUGUUAAAGAAGAACAUAUCUGAGAGUAACUGUUCAGGUAUUGACGGUAUUUAACCAGAAAGCCACGGCUAACUACGUGCCAGCAGCCGCGGUAAUACGUAGGUGGCAAGCGUUGUCCGGAUUUAUUGGGCGUAAAGCGAGCGCAGGCGGUUUUUUAAGUCUGAUGUGAAAGCCUUCGGCUCAACCGAAGAAGUGCAUCGGAAACUGGGAAACUUGAGUGCAGAAGAGGACAGUGGAACUCCAUGUGUAGCGGUGAAAUGCGUAGAUAUAUGGAAGAACACCAGUGGCGAAGGCGGCUGUCUGGUCUGUAACUGACGCUGAGGCUCGAAAGUAUGGGUAGCAAACAGGAUUAGAUACCCUGGUAGUCCAUACCGUAAACGAUGAAUGCUAAGUGUUGGAGGGUUUCCGCCCUUC